RNAcentral lists this ribosomal RNA (253 nucleotides) under uncultured bacterium. Its description in RNAcentral is "partial 16S ribosomal RNA". It matches the Rfam family "Bacterial small subunit ribosomal RNA", at positions 524 to 776 of the family's 1533-position model. The record is from RNAcentral.
UACGGAGGGAGCUAGCGUUGCUCGGAAUCACUGGGCGUAAAGCGCACGUAGGCGGAUUGUUAAGUCGGGGGUGAAAUCCUGGAGCUCAACUCCAGAACUGCCUUCGAUACUGGCGAUCUUGAGUCCGGGAGAGGUGAGUGGAACUCCGAGUGUAGAGGUGAAAUUCGUAGAUAUUCGGAAGAACACCAGUGGCGAAGGCGGCUCACUGGCCCGGUACUGACGCUGAGGUGCGAAAGCGUGGGGAGCAAACAGG